AUCUAUGGCCAUACCUCCCUGAUAUUGGAAGCUAAGUAGGGUUAGGCCGGGUAACUACUUCGAUGGAAAACUGCCUGGAAAUAUUGAGUUCAGUAGGCU
Molecule: ribosomal RNA, 99 nt
Filed under: Chlorocebus sabaeus (green monkey)
Lineage: Eukaryota; Metazoa; Chordata; Mammalia; Primates; Cercopithecidae
Source: RNAcentral